Alligator sinensis (Chinese alligator) is the source of this 559-nucleotide non-coding RNA. The record is from the annotation of a RefSeq genome assembly. Lineage: Eukaryota; Metazoa; Chordata; Crocodylia; Alligatoridae.
GGGACGGGGCGGCGAGAGGGAGAUCAUUAUAAGGGGCAGAUACUGCGGGGCAUCGUCAGAAAAAAGAACCAGAUAUCUCCUCACCAUGCUCUGGGCUCCCCUCCUUGUCGUGCUGCUGGGGGUGUGGUGCACAGGUUCCAGCUCCCAGUCUGUGGUGACGCAGCCGCCCGCAGAGUCAGUGUCCCCGGGAAACACUGUGAAACUCUCCUGCACCAUGAGCAGUGGGACCAGCAUCAGUGGCUACUAUGUGAACUGGUUUCAGCAGAAACCUGGGACCCCCCCUCGGCAACUGCUGUAUUACAAGUCGGAUUCUGACAAGCACCAGGGCUCCGGGGUCCCCGCUCGCUUCUCUGGCUCCAAAGACACAUCCAGUAACACCGGCUACCUGACCAUCGCCGGGGUCCUUGCGGAGGAUCAGGCUGACUAUUACUGCGCUGUGUGGCACAGUGAUGCUUGUCACAGUGAUCUAGUCAGAGGGAAAGGGAUCUUUGGUCCAACUGGCCCGCAACGCAGGCAAGAAAGCCAGUCAAUGAGAAUGGAAUUGGAGCUGUCAGGGUGA